UCCUACGGGAGGCAGCAGUGGGGAAUUUUGGACAAUGGGGGAAACCCUGAUCCAGCCAUCCCGCGUGUGCGAUGAAGGCCUUCGGGUUGUAAAGCACUUUUGUCAGGGAAGAAAAGGUUCUGGCUAAUACCCGGAACUGAUGACGGUACCUGAAGAAUAAGCACCGGCUAACUACGUGCCAGCAGCCGCGGUAAUACGUAGGGUGCAAGCGUUAAUCGGAAUUACUGGGCGUAAAGCGUGCGCAGGCGGUUCGGAAAGAAGGAUGUGAAAUCCCAGGGCUCAACCUUGGAACUGCAUUCUUAACUACCGAACUAGAGUAUGUCAGAGGGGGGUAGAAUUCCGCGUGUAGCAGUGAAAUGCGUAGAUAUGCGGAGGAAUACCGAUGGCGAAGGCAGCCCCCUGGGAUAAUACUGACGCUCAUGCACGAAAGCGUGGGUAGCAAACAGGAUUAGAUACCCUGGUAGUCCACGCCCUAAACGAUGUCAACUAGCUGUUGGGCCCUUCGGGGCUUAGUAGCGUAGCUAACGCGUGAAGUUGACCGCCUGGGGAGUACGGUCGCAAGAUUAAACUCAAAGGA
This 577-nucleotide ribosomal RNA is filed under the name Advenella kashmirensis. RNAcentral's name for it is "bacterial SSU rRNA". It matches the Rfam family "Bacterial small subunit ribosomal RNA", at positions 337 to 908 of the family's 1533-position model. Lineage: Bacteria; Pseudomonadati; Pseudomonadota; Betaproteobacteria; Burkholderiales; Alcaligenaceae. The record is from RNAcentral.